UCGAUGCACAAGGAUGAAAGAAAUCAGAUUCAAGAAAGCCCAGUCUUCACCCAUGGACAGCUGAGAAAGGCAUGAGACAGGAAUAUUAUAAUUCAUCUAUAAGAAAGUGCUCAUCUAAAGGAGAAAAUGCUAGCCAGACUUCCUCUGAGACACAGCCAGCACUGCUACUGCUGGACACCAAGAAUAUGAAGAUGAACGAAUCUCAUCUCUGGGCACUAAGAGUUGACGACCCAGAGUGGGAGAAGAAAGACAAACAACUCACAGUAUCAACCCACAUCUCCCAGGAGCCUCCUCCUUCCCCUGACCAUAAUAAUCCUCUCCCUCCACGUUUUUUUGUAAGAAGAGAGAGAAUAGGGAGAAGUAUUUUGGUUACAUUCAUUCCUCAAGCACUUUUUUCAGCCCCAGAGGCCUAAAUGAUGGAAAUUCUCAGACACGAUCAUUGGCUCCACUCUCACGUCCAAGGCCAAUGCCCUCCACAACCCCUGUUUUUUUACAUACCUUGUCUAAGACUGAAAUCACAGGCUCCUUCUGUGACAAGAAUCAAAGUUACAACCUUUAUGUGUGCGGGUUGUUUACAAGAAGGCAAAGGAAAAUAAAACCUAAGUAUUCUCAACCUCUUCA
This is a long non-coding RNA of Chlorocebus sabaeus (green monkey), 621 nucleotides long. RefSeq lists it as uncharacterized. Lineage: Eukaryota; Metazoa; Chordata; Mammalia; Primates; Cercopithecidae. The record is from RefSeq and is a predicted model, not a curated record.